Molecule: ribosomal RNA, 468 nt
Filed under: uncultured bacterium
Lineage: Bacteria
Description: partial 16S ribosomal RNA
Rfam family: Bacterial small subunit ribosomal RNA
Source: RNAcentral
GACGAACGCUGGCGGCGUGCUUAACGCAUGCAAGUCGAACGGAAAGGCCCUGAUCUUGUGGGGUGCUCGAGUGGCGCAAGGGUGAGUAACACGUGAGUAACAUGCCCUUGACUUUGGGAUAACUUCAGGAAACAGGGGCUAAUACCGGAUAGGAGCUCCUGCUGCAUGGUGGGGGUUGGAAAGAUUCGGCGGUUGGGGAUGGACUCGCGGCUUACCAGCUUGUUGGUGGGGUAGUGGCUUACCAAGGCUUUGCCGGGUAGCCGGCCUGAGAGGGUGACCGGCCACAGUGGGACUGAGGUACGGCCCAGACUCCUACGGGAGGCAGCAGUGGGGAAUGGUGCACAAUGGGCGGAAGCCUGAUGCAGCAACGCCGCGUGCGGGAUGACGGCCUUCGGGUUGUAAACCGCUUUCGCCUGUGACGAAGCGUGAGUGACGGUAAUGGGUAAAGAAGCACCGGCUAACUACGUG